AGAAUGAGCGCUGGCGGCGUGCCUUACACAUGCAAGUCGAGCGAGGCCGGGUAGCAAUACCCGAGUCGAGCGGCAGACGGGUGAGUAACACGUGGGUGACCUACCUCGAGGUGGGGGAUAACCCGGAGAAAUUCGGGCUAAUACCGCAUAACAUCGAAAGAUCAAAGAGGGCGCAAAGCCUCUCGCCGUGAGAGGGGCCCGCGCCUGAUUAGCUAGUUGGUGAGGUAACGGCUCACCAAGGCGACGAUCAGUAGCCGGCCUGAGAGGGCGAGUCGGACCGACGACCUGGAACGUGAGACACGGUCCAGACUCCUACGGAGGCAGCAGUGGGAAGUUUGCGCAAGUGGGGAAACCCUGACGCAGCAACGCCGCGUGGAGGAUGAAGGUCCUUGGAUUGUAAACUCUGUCAGCAGGAGAAGGCCUGGGUGAAGUACCCCCGAGAGUGACGUACUGC
This 454-nucleotide ribosomal RNA is filed under the name uncultured soil bacterium. Its description in RNAcentral is "bacterial SSU rRNA". It matches the Rfam family "Bacterial small subunit ribosomal RNA", at positions 26 to 483 of the family's 1533-position model. The record is from RNAcentral.